AUGUGUCUUUUUGAAUUAUGGGGUUUUUUUCUGGGUAUAUAUACUUCCUAACAGGAUUGCUGGAUUAUAGCAAUUUUUAACCGUACCUUGAAGUCCACGGAUGGAUGUCCCACCAGAACUGGCCUAGGCCACGCUAGAGGACAGAGACAACCCCAAGGCUAUCCCGGCCGCUCUUUUUCGGCACGGGGCCCCUCGCCUCUCCUCCCCGCCUGUCCGCGGUGUGUGGAAGGCAAGGAUGCUUGCGUGGAGCCAAAUCUUCUCGUCUCCCGACCCCGAUCCUCCCCCGGGUUCCUCGGAUACAGCGGACAGCCUCGCGAGGCCUAGUCAGCUUGCGUCUCGCGAGAAGUCCCCUGCCAAGUGGGCUUUGGGGCCAGGAGGUCGCCUUGGUGCGUGAGCACGUCCCGCCUGGCCCUGGGCGGUGACUGGGAGCGCUCUGUGUCGGUCCUGAGGGGCGUGAGGCCGAGUAGGGGCGUCGGCUCCGGUUCCCAGCAAGGAGCCCCUCAGGCCCCCGUGGCCAUGGUGCUUUCGCACUAACGUAGAUUUGGCUGGCAGAAGAGAGGGAAACCAAGAGUGUCUGCAUCACUUACUCCAGAGAAACACUGAGUACCGUCUGCCCUCAACCACCAUCACCACCACCCAGUGCAGCCCUUUCUGGACCACACCCUCACCCCACUUCUGUGAGCCCUCCCCCACCAGUCUUCGUCCAAGAACCUGAAAUCCCAAUGUUUCUCCAAAUACACGUUUGGAAAGUCACUUUCAAUGCAGCAGUUGGUAACACAGGAGAACUCUUAAUGUUGCACAGUAUUGUCUACUCUUGUCCAGUUCCAAAAAUUAUCUACUCUUCCAACCUUCAUUCUAAGACUAAAUGCAAUGCUGCGAUGCUUCUCUUAUAUAACAUGGGAGGAGAGGGGGUGGCCAGACCAUACAGUGUGGAAAACCAGUAAUUCCCACACCAAGGUCUACAAACUGGCUCAAGGUCAUAAAAGAACAGGAAAGCCCACUGAACUAGUAAUAGGAACUAGGUUGCAUGAGCAAAGACAAGUUUCUAAAACACCUACAAACCACAUGUGGUAUCGACAUUUGUGUCCAGCUGAUUUUUUAUGACCUUUCAGGAAAUGAACUGUCCCACUCUCAAAAACUAGAGGAACAGUAUUAAUAAGUCAAAACCAAAGCCAAAUCCAGUAGUGAUUAUAGUACUACAUUUGAUCUCUAUGGACUGUAAAGAAGAAUAUAAAAACAAGAGAGAAAAACUCAAGAGCUUUUCAUUAAAAACAAACACAAACCAUUUAUACAAAAGCAGUUUAAAUUUUAUUUAUAAAUUUGUUUAAAAGCAUAUAAAGGAUUUUUCUUUUGGUCACAUUUGUAGCCUGAAUUAA
Molecule: long non-coding RNA, 1376 nt
Organism: Bubalus bubalis (water buffalo)
Lineage: Eukaryota; Metazoa; Chordata; Mammalia; Artiodactyla; Bovidae
Exons: 2
Source: RefSeq, a predicted model, not a curated record